AUUGAACGCUGGCGGCAGGCCUAACACAUGCAAGUCGAGCGGAUGAAGGGAGCUUGCUCCUGGAUUCAGCGGCGGACGGGUGAGUAAUGCCUAGGAAUCUGCCUGGUAGUGGGGGAUAACGUCCGGAAACGGGCGCUAAUACCGCAUACGUCCUGAGGGAGAAAGUGGGGGAUCUUCGGACCUCACGCUAUCAGAUGAGCCUAGGUCGGAUUAGCUAGUUGGUGGGGUAAAGGCCUACCAAGGCGACGAUCCGUAACUGGUCUGAGAGGAUGAUCAGUCACACUGGAACUGAGACACGGUCCAGACUCCUACGGGAGGCAGCAGUGGGGAAUAUUGGACAAUGGGCGAAAGCCUGAUCCAGCCAUGCCGCGUGUGUGAAGAAGGUCUUCGGAUUGUAAAGCACCUUAAGUUGGGAGGAAGGGCAGUAAGUUAAUACCUUGCUGUUUUGACGUUACCAACUGAAUAAGCACCGGCUAACUUCGUG
This 484-nucleotide ribosomal RNA is filed under the name uncultured bacterium. Its description in RNAcentral is "partial 16S ribosomal RNA". It matches the Rfam family "Bacterial small subunit ribosomal RNA", at positions 30 to 507 of the family's 1533-position model. The record is from RNAcentral.